This 94-nucleotide transfer RNA is filed under the name Agrilus planipennis (emerald ash borer). It matches the Rfam family "tRNA". From Rfam's summary of the family: Transfer RNA (tRNA) molecules are approximately 80 nucleotides in length. The record is from Rfam by way of RNAcentral. Lineage: Eukaryota; Metazoa; Arthropoda; Insecta; Coleoptera; Buprestidae.
CCUUCGGUAGCUCAGUUGGUAGAGCGGUGGACUGUAGAGGAAACCGAAUGAUGUAGACAUCCAUAGGUCGCUGGUUCAAAUCCGGCCCGAAGGA